UUUGUACUUCCUCCAUCCCAAAAUUCUUGUCUUAGAUUUGUCUAUACGGAUGUAUCAAGUCAGGUCUUAGCAUUAGAUACAUCCGUAUCUAGACAAAUUUAAGACAAAAAUUUUGAGACAGAGGGAGUAUUAU
Non-coding RNA from Triticum aestivum (bread wheat), 133 nucleotides. The record is from Rfam. NCBI's taxonomy places the organism in Eukaryota, Viridiplantae, Streptophyta, Magnoliopsida, Poales, Poaceae.